UAGGAUGUUGCAUGGGAUGUUGAGUGCACGUGGGCUGCUGAAUGAUAGAGUGGUGCAGCUUCUCACAGACGUGGCAACAGCCCAUGAAGGUUGGACUUGAAGCUGGACUCCUCACUGACACUGCACUUGCUGGGACGUUGUUGGAGCGUAGUGUGCUGUAUGCUAAACAAUUGGGCCGUGGCAGAUUUUUUUAUUCAGCUGAAGCACACUUCUCUUUCACCAAGCAACUCUCCCAACUUGUGCAACACUAGC
This 252-nucleotide long non-coding RNA is filed under the name Vigna radiata. RNAcentral describes it as "long non-coding RNA (VRAD_LNC000083)". Lineage: Eukaryota; Viridiplantae; Streptophyta; Magnoliopsida; Fabales; Fabaceae. The record is from RNAcentral.